GUAGUCUCGCACAGAUGCAUAUCAAUAAGCGGAGGAAAAGAAACUAACAAGGAUUCCCUCAGUAACGGCGAGUGAAGCGGGAAGAGCUCAAAUUUGAAAUCUUGAAAGGUCACCUUUCACGAAUUGUAGUUUAAAGAAGUGUUUUCUGUUACGAUCGUAAUAUAAGUUCUUUGGAAUAGGACAUCAUAGAGGGUGAGAAUCCCGUAUGAUUGACCGAUUAUUGUCAGCUUUGUGAUACACUUUCAAAGAGUCGGAUUGUUUGGGAAUGCAGUCCAAAAUGGGUGGUAAAUUUCAUCUAAAGCUAAAUAUUGGCGAGAGACCGAUAGCGAACAAGUACCGUGAGGGAAAGAUGAAAAGAACUUUGAAAAGAGAGUUAAACAGUACGUGAAAUUGUCAAAAGGGAAGCGUUUGACACCAGUGUUGUUUUCCUCGAAAAUCAAUUAAAAAUGGCUCGAUUUUGUAUUGCUGAGACCUUAAAAGCUCACUGUACAUUUUUCGUGUCUUUUUUAAUGCACUUUUCGUUUAACAAGUCAACAUCAGUUUCUUUUGUUGUAAAAGGGUCAUUGGAAGGUGGCUUUCUUUUCGGAGAAAGUGUUUAUAGCCUUUGGCCUCUGCAAUCGGAGAGACUGAGGUCUGCAGCGUAGACUCUUCGGGGUUAGAUACAUUUGUGCUAAGUUAUAGCUUUUUAUAGACAACUUGUUGACUAUAAUUAGUCUUGUAGCUUACUCGCUUAUGCUAUUUUACCUACGCUUAGGAUGUUGAGUCGUAGAGCACGCAG
This 778-nucleotide ribosomal RNA is filed under the name uncultured Neocallimastigales. RNAcentral describes it as "partial large subunit ribosomal RNA". It matches the Rfam family "Eukaryotic large subunit ribosomal RNA", at positions 24 to 628 of the family's 3401-position model. Lineage: Eukaryota; Fungi; Neocallimastigomycota; Neocallimastigomycetes; Neocallimastigales. The record is from RNAcentral.